Molecule: ribosomal RNA, 440 nt
Filed under: uncultured bacterium
Lineage: Bacteria
Description: partial 16S ribosomal RNA
Rfam family: Bacterial small subunit ribosomal RNA
Source: RNAcentral
CCUACGGGUGGCAGCAGUGGGGAAUAUUGCACAAUGGGGGAAACCCUGAUGCAGCGACGCCGCGUGAGUGAAGCAGUAUUUCGGUAUGUAACGCUCUAUCAGCAGGGUAGAAAAUGACGGUACCUGCUUAAGAAGCCCCGGCUGACUACGUGCCAGCAGCCGCGGUAAUACGUAUGGGGCAAGCGUUCUCCGGAUUUACUGGGUGUAAAGGGAGCGUAGACGGCAGCACAAGUCUGGAGUGAAAUGCCGGGGCUUAACCCCGGAACUGCGUUGGAAACUGUGCAGCUAGAGUGCAGGAGAGGUAGGUGGAAUUCCGAGUGUAGCGGUGAAAUGCGUAGAUAUUAGGAGGAACACCAGUGGCGAAGGCGGCUUACUGGACUGUAACUGACGUUGAGGCACGAAAGCGUGGGGAGCAAACAGGAUUAGAUACCCGGGUAGUC